GGCAGUGUGGUGUAGUGGUGAGAGUGUCAGACUAAGACCUGGGAGACCGGGGUUCAAAUCCCCACUCUGCCA
Non-coding RNA from Podarcis lilfordi (Lilford's wall lizard), 72 nucleotides. The record is from the annotation of a GenBank genome assembly. NCBI's taxonomy places the organism in Eukaryota, Metazoa, Chordata, Lepidosauria, Squamata, Lacertidae.